RNAcentral lists this non-coding RNA (300 nucleotides) under Gracilibacter sp. Its description in RNAcentral is "T-box sequence". It matches the Rfam family "T-box leader". From Rfam's summary of the family: Uncharged tRNA acts as the effector for transcription antitermination of genes in the T-box leader family. T-boxes are found upstream of many aminoacyl-tRNA synthetase genes and some amino acid biosynthetic genes usually in Gram-positive bacteria. The record is from RNAcentral. Lineage: Bacteria; Bacillati; Bacillota; Clostridia; Eubacteriales; Gracilibacteraceae.
UCUACGGCUAUGAUGAGAAGUAGUAAAUCCUUGUAAGCUGUUCUAGCGAGUCAGAGAUGGUGAAAGUCUGAUACAUAUUCUUGGAUUGAAUGGAUCUCAGAGCUGCUAGCUGAACUCGGACAUAUUCCGAUAGUAGGUGAUGCCGGGGAGUUUCCCGUUAUAGAGACAGGAUAUCGAGAAAUUAAGGUUUCUCCGUAUCUGGAAGAGAUGCUUUUAGAAUAUCUCAGAUAAAUAUCUCAAAUAUACCAAUUAUUCUAAGAGCAACAAAGGUGGCACCGCGGAUAAUCCUCCGUCCUUUCA